This 2900-nucleotide ribosomal RNA is filed under the name Klebsiella pneumoniae. RNAcentral's name for it is "bacterial LSU rRNA". It matches the Rfam family "Bacterial large subunit ribosomal RNA". Lineage: Bacteria; Pseudomonadati; Pseudomonadota; Gammaproteobacteria; Enterobacterales; Enterobacteriaceae. RNAcentral also lists the same sequence under 1 other name. The record is from RNAcentral.
UUAAGCGACUAAGCGUACACGGUGGAUGCCCUGGCAGUCAGAGGCGAUGAAGGACGUGCUAAUCUGCGAAAAGCGUCGGUAAGGUGAUAUGAACCGUUAUAGCCGGCGAUGUCCGAAUGGGGAAACCCAGUGUGAUUCGUCACACUAUCGUUAACUGAAUACAUAGGUUAACGAGGCGAACCGGGGGAACUGAAACAUCUAAGUACCCCGAGGAAAAGAAAUCAACCGAGAUUCCCCCAGUAGCGGCGAGCGAACGGGGAGCAGCCCAGAGUCUGAAUCAGCUUGUGUAUUAGUGGAACGGUCUGGAAAGUCCGACGGUACAGGGUGAUAGUCCCGUACACCAAAAUGCACAGGCUGUGAACUCGAAGAGUAGGGCGGGACACGUGGUAUCCUGUCUGAAUAUGGGGGGACCAUCCUCCAAGGCUAAAUACUCCUGACUGACCGAUAGUAAACCAGUACCGUGAGGGAAAGGCGAAAAGAACCCCGGCGAGGGGAGUGAAAAAGAACCUGAAACCGUGUACGUACAAGCAGUGGGAGCACCUUCGGGUGUGACUGCGUACCUUUUGUAUAAUGGGUCAGCGACUUAUAUUCUGUAGCAAGGUUAACCGUAUAGGGGAGCCGCAGGGAAACCGAGUCUUAACUGGGCGUUAAGUUGCAGGGUAUAGACCCGAAACCCGGUGAUCUAGCCAUGGGCAGGUUGAAGGUUGGGUAACACUAACUGGAGGACCGAACCGACUAAUGUUGAAAAAUUAGCGGAUGACUUGUGGCUGGGGGUGAAAGGCCAAUCAAACCGGGAGAUAGCUGGUUCUCCCCGAAAGCUAUUUAGGUAGCGCCUCGUGAAUUCAUCUUCGGGGGUAGAGCACUGUUUCGGCUAGGGGGUCAUCCCGACUUACCAACCCGAUGCAAACUACGAAUACCGAAGAAUGUUAUCACGGGAGACACACGGCGGGUGCUAACGUCCGUCGUGAAGAGGGAAACAACCCAGACCGCCAGCUAAGGUCCCAAAGUCAUGGUUAAGUGGGAAACGAUGUGGGAAGGCACAGACAGCCAGGAUGUUGGCUUAGAAGCAGCCAUCAUUUAAAGAAAGCGUAAUAGCUCACUGGUCGAGUCGGCCUGCGCGGAAGAUGUAACGGGGCUAAACCAUGCACCGAAGCUGCGGCAGCGACACUAUGUGUUGUUGGGUAGGGGAGCGUUCUGUAAGCCUGCGAAGGUGACCUGUGAGGGUUGCUGGAGGUAUCAGAAGUGCGAAUGCUGACAUAAGUAACGAUAAAGCGGGUGAAAAGCCCGCUCGCCGGAAGACCAAGGGUUCCUGUCCAACGUUAAUCGGGGCAGGGUGAGUCGACCCCUAAGGCGAGGCCGAAAGGCGUAGUCGAUGGGAAACAGGUUAAUAUUCCUGUACUUGGUGUUACUGCGAAGGGGGGACGGAGAAGGCUAUGUUAGCCGGGCGACGGUUGUCCCGGUUUAAGCAUGUAGGCUGGUUGUCCAGGCAAAUCCGGAUAAUCAAGGCUGAGGUGUGAUGACGAGGUACUACGGUGCUGAAGUAACAAAUGCCCUGCUUCCAGGAAAAGCCUCUAAGCAUCAGGUAACAUCAAAUCGUACCCCAAACCGACACAGGUGGUCAGGUAGAGAAUACCAAGGCGCUUGAGAGAACUCGGGUGAAGGAACUAGGCAAAAUGGUGCCGUAACUUCGGGAGAAGGCACGCUGGUGUGUAGGUGAAGUCCCUGCGGAUGGAGCUGAGACCAGUCGAAGAUACCAGCUGGCUGCAACUGUUUAUUAAAAACACAGCACUGUGCAAACACGAAAGUGGACGUAUACGGUGUGACGCCUGCCCGGUGCCGGAAGGUUAAUUGAUGGGGUUAUCCGUAAGGAGAAGCUCUUGAUCGAAGCCCCGGUAAACGGCGGCCGUAACUAUAACGGUCCUAAGGUAGCGAAAUUCCUUGUCGGGUAAGUUCCGACCUGCACGAAUGGCGUAAUGAUGGCCAGGCUGUCUCCACCCGAGACUCAGUGAAAUUGAACUCGCUGUGAAGAUGCAGUGUACCCGCGGCAAGACGGAAAGACCCCGUGAACCUUUACUAUAGCUUGACACUGAACAUUGAGCCUUGAUGUGUAGGAUAGGUGGGAGGCUUUGAAGCGUGGACGCCAGUCUGCGUGGAGCCAACCUUGAAAUACCACCCUUUAAUGUUUGAUGUUCUAACGUUGGCCCCUGACCGGGGUUGCGGACAGUGUCUGGUGGGUAGUUUGACUGGGGCGGUCUCCUCCCAAAGCGUAACGGAGGAGCACGAAGGUUAGCUAAUCCUGGUCGGACAUCAGGAGGUUAGUGCAAUGGCAUAAGCUAGCUUGACUGCGAGCGUGACGGCGCGAGCAGGUGCGAAAGCAGGUCAUAGUGAUCCGGUGGUUCUGAAUGGAAGGGCCAUCGCUCAACGGAUAAAAGGUACUCCGGGGAUAACAGGCUGAUACCGCCCAAGAGUUCAUAUCGACGGCGGUGUUUGGCACCUCGAUGUCGGCUCAUCACAUCCUGGGGCUGAAGUAGGUCCCAAGGGUAUGGCUGUUCGCCAUUUAAAGUGGUACGCGAGCUGGGUUUAGAACGUCGUGAGACAGUUCGGUCCCUAUCUGCCGUGGGCGCUGGAGAAUUGAGGGGGGCUGCUCCUAGUACGAGAGGACCGGAGUGGACGCAUCACUGGUGUUCGGGUUGUCAUGCCAAUGGCACUGCCCGGUAGCUAAAUGCGGAAGAGAUAAGUGCUGAAAGCAUCUAAGCACGAAACUUGCCCCGAGAUGAGUUCUCCCUGAGACUUUAAGUCUCCUGAAGGAACGUUGAAGACGACGACGUUGAUAGGCCGGGUGUGUAAGCGCAGCGAUGCGUUGAGCUAACCGGUACUAAUGAACCGUGAGGCUUAACCUU